This 3734-nucleotide unclassified non-coding RNA is filed under the name Neodiprion lecontei (redheaded pine sawfly). RNAcentral describes it as "stress response protein NST1-like, transcript variant X1". The record is from RNAcentral. Lineage: Eukaryota; Metazoa; Arthropoda; Insecta; Hymenoptera; Diprionidae.
CUCCUCCUCCUCUACGACCUUAUCCUCUUCGUCGCGUACCUGCUGCUGGCACAUACGUCGACGCUGAGACGUUACGGUGGCGGUAACUUGAGUGUAUUUUCAAUAAUACGAGCCAAACUUCAGUUUGUUUAUCUACCGAUGACGCGUGUUUUACCAAUUCCUCCUCGGACGUGACAGAGUGCUUCUUGUUCCGGCUCACACGGAGCACAUCUCGGUUUCAAAACAUAUCUCGUCAAUCCGGCAACGGUUCGCAGCUUUCUUUUCAAAAGUUAUUCACUCUCGGUGAAUUAAUACUCGAUCAACCGAUGGCUCGUUGAGUGCGUAAGGAGUGAAGAAGCACGGCCUGACAUUUUAUCCGUAAAGUGCGGACAACGAGAGAAAUUCAAGUUCAACGGACUCUUGGAUGAUAAAUGUUGAAAAAGAGUGAGAUAAAAACAGACGACAGACCGAAUGUACGCCGGAUAGGAAUUGUCGUAUAAUUAGCGAGAGGAUCGACAUGGAUUACAAUUACCGAAGCGACGGAUCGUCGGACCCGGCAGCCGACGACAGGGUAGUUUUCUACAUCGACGAUCUAUCGACGCGUCCGGAAUCCUGCCAAAAUCCAAGCCCCGCGAUCUUCCAAUGCGGGGGCCUCGAGACGCCGGGACUUUAUCCCCCCGAGACGGGGAGACAUCCUUCGCGUUCUAACUCCGUUUACUCCCAAUCCGGAAGACCCCGACGUUCCAGGACGAUUACCGACGGAGAUAUUCACGUCGGGAGUCGUCGCGCCAGCCUCCACGGGGCGAGAUCACGGGCCAACAGCUGCACCGGGACGACUCCCCUAGGGGACGGGAGACGGGCGAGUGUCUGCAGAAAAAAUCGGCCAAAAAGGGGAAGCACGGUGCGUCGAAAGGGUUCGAUUCGUGCGAACGCAGGAAACAACGUCGUCGCGUCGACGGAAGUUGUCAAAAUCGCGGUUCCCCCGAUUGGGAACCCCGUCGAUAUCGCCCAGGAUCGAAGUCGUCGGAAAAUCGUUAUCAUUGUACUGUCAAUUUUCAUCUUCUUACUCGUCGCCUCGAUUCUCGUCGUCGUCAUCACCCUGACACACAGCUCGUUUCACAGCCUGCCCGCCGAUCCCGGAAAAGAAUCGGACGAUCGUCAAGAUAAAUAACUUCGGAGGGAGAACGAGGAGUUGUUGAGUUCACUGAGUCAAGACAGCUUCGUGCCUGAGAACACCACAGCUCAGCAGUGAAAAGUGAAGCAGCCUGUUAUAUGUAUACACACGUACGAUCGGAUCGACGGAGAGAACUAGAGGAGGGAAUAACGAUCCCACGCCUACGUUCGAUCAACGAGCACAUGUAAUUAUACAAAUUUUGAAUCCUGCAAAAAUAGAGGGGAGAAAAACGUGCGUAAAGAAUUUAUUUGUUCACCGCCUGGGUAUAAUUCCGCGAACUGAAAAAUCAUCUUCUCUCGCGCUGUAGAAAUAUUGAUAAUAUAUCACCAUACGGCACGUGGUAAUCGUACAUUUCGCAAGGAUUGAUUUAUUUUCAUUUCUAUAUAUAUAUAUAUAUAUAUAUAUGUUUUUUAAAUAAUUUCAGCAACAUUGAUUACUUGCCUAGGGAAAAUACUGUGUACGUCUGCAAUUCACAUAUCUUUUUUAGUUAUUUAAAUUUUGCUUUAUGCAUAAUGCGAUCAGACACAAAUCGCACUCAUCAAUUCGUCGAUUUAAAACUUGAAACUUUUUAUUCUUCGUUCUGGAAUAUCAACAUCUUUAACAAAUUUAUAUAAAUUAAUUAACUGCCCAUGUCAAAUUAUCGCGCAUAUAAUACGGCGCAUCGAUUUUCAUACUUACUCCAAUUUUUAGAUACGUUGAAUUUCUUCAAGUCUAGACAGAUAACAAAAAAAGAAUUAGGGGGUGAGAAUAUGUUACAAAUAAAUUGUGUAUAUCCCGGACAGAUUUUGCAGCUUGAAAAUAUUAUCCCAAUGUUUCACGCUAUACUUAGAUUCAUAUAAAAUUUGCUUGCAUUUAUUAACUGUCGCGACAACGAAAGAAUCCAUUGGUUUAGAAACUUUGUGCGAGGGAGAGGGAAAUUAGAAGAAAGAGAAAAAAAAGUCAUUUCCUCAGGUCACAAUCGUGAUCGCAGGUGAAUUACACGAUGCGUAGUUUGUUAUUAAUACCACAUACUGUACGAAAAAACGAAAUGUAAAUAUUUAUUAAGAAUUAUUAUACGGUUGCUAUGACUGUUAUACAUAUAUGUAUGCAUGUAUGUGUACAUAUGUAUAUCAUAUAUAUAUAUAUAUACAUACAUUAUACGUAAUAUAUGUAAAACAUGGUACGAUAGGAAUUGGUCAAUAUAAUUAAUUGUAUAUAACAGUAGAUGAUUGUCCGUGAGGAAUUAUUGCAGUCCACAUUAUAGACGCGACAAAAGGAAACGGAAUGUGAAAAGGGAAUGCAAAAAAAGCGUUCAUUUUGUCCGCGUUUAUCGUUUGUUAAAAUGCGAUUUAUAGGCAAGACUAUAAUGUUACUAAUAAUACAGGUUUAACGUGCCAAUGCCAUAACGUAAUAAUAUUGCAUACAUGUAAUUUUAAGUAUAAUAAAUGUAUAAUAAUAACAAAAACAACAACAACAACAACAAUAAUAAUGAUCAAUACACGAUUGUAUGAUUAAAAUAUGAUUAUCAAUUCAAUAUUAUACCUAUAAAUAUUUGUAACGCAUUUGCGCAUACAUAUAAAUACGUCGAAACUUGUUACAGUGUUUGUAAAUUAAAAUUGAAACCGAAUAUUAAAAACUUUUAUUAACAACGCACCUAGAUGCGUGCCGUGGUAUGUAAUAUGCCGUGAUACCGUGUGCAUGGAUAUAAUGUUGAAAAUGUAAGCAUGUAGGCGGGAUACGUUAUGCAAGAAUCUUUAUUAAUAAUAAUAAUAAUUAUAAUAGUAACGAUAAUGGAGUAAUAAUUAAUCCAACGCUGUUUUUGUUUUUUUCACAACUCGGGAAUAACGAUCAGUUAUCGACCUUGAUUGUCUAUAGAAAUGUUGUUAAUAAUUCUAUCUGAUUUUUUCUACCAGUCAUAUUGAAACAAGUCUUCUUGUGUAUUAAUAUAUUUUUUGUUUCUGACGCACGCCUAGUAUUUACUCGAAUUAGUGUAUUCUAAAGGUUUUCUUAAAAUAAUGACUUUCAGUAUAAUUUUUUUGAAUAAUUUUUUAAAAAGAAUUGCAAGUGACAUAAAACGAAAUAUACGAGUACAUACUUCGUUUUUCCAUUUUGCUAUGCAGGAAUGGAACAGUUAGUUUGAUGCUAUCUGAGCCAGUUUUUUCUUGGGCUUUAAUGGGUUAAAUCAAUUCAAGAAUUAGGAGUUGGUUUAAAUUAAUCCUGUACGUAUAAACUGUUGACAGUGAAAGAUAUGUACGUUUAUAAUACGAAAACUUAUCGCAGGCCGGAGAGGCCGAUUGUCGGUUUGCAGCUCUGUUUUUGCAUUUUCAAUAGACCAACGGCCGUCCCUGAGUACUUCUAAAUUUCAUAAUAUACCGUGCCAAUUUCUUACAUUUCACAGUCUCCUGUAAUUGAGAAAAUAAGCUGGACUUGAUUAAAAAGGGAUCGAACGACAUCUUGUAAAUAUGCAUUACCUUUGCCUCUAAGGGUGUUAUGACAAAAUUGUUCUAUUGGUAAAAAACGUGAAUAAAAAAUAAAGAAAACUCCAGACGUCGCGCGAGUGUAAGUAAUAUUAAUAAUACGUCAGAUGUACAUACAUAGUGUG